This 498-nucleotide ribosomal RNA is filed under the name uncultured bacterium. RNAcentral describes it as "partial 16S ribosomal RNA". It matches the Rfam family "Bacterial small subunit ribosomal RNA", at positions 29 to 523 of the family's 1533-position model. The record is from RNAcentral.
AUUGAACGCUGGCGGCAUGCCUUACACAUGCAAGUCGAACGGUAACGCGGGGCAACCUGGCGACGAGUGGCGAACGGGUGAGUAAUGCAUCGGAACGUGCCCAGUAGUGGGGGAUAGCCCGGCGAAAGCCGGAUUAAUACCGCAUACGACCUACGGGUGAAAGGGGGGGAUCGCAAGACCUCUCGCUAUUGGAGCGGCCGAUGUCAGAUUAGGUAGUUGGGGGGGUAAAGGCCUACCAAGCCUACGAUCUGUAGCUGGUCUGAGAGGACGACCUGCAAGCCUGGGACUGAGACACGGCCCAGACUCCUACGGGAGGCAGCAGUGGGGAAUUUUGGACAAUGGGCGCAAGCCUGAUCCAGCCAUGCCGCGUGCGGGAAGAAGACCUUCGGGUUGUAAACCGCUUUUGUCAGGGAAGAAACGCUCUGGACUAAUACUCUGGGGUAAUGACGGUACCUGAAGAAUAAGCACCGGCUAACUACGUGCCAGCAGCCGCGGUAA